Molecule: long non-coding RNA, 1141 nt
Filed under: Vigna radiata
Lineage: Eukaryota; Viridiplantae; Streptophyta; Magnoliopsida; Fabales; Fabaceae
Description: long non-coding RNA (VRAD_LNC002483)
Source: RNAcentral
UCAAGUGGAUGCAACAUGUUAUAAUAAUGUAAAGCAGUUAGGAGUGGAAAUUCAGAUGAAAGGUAUAUACAGUACAGUCAUCCAAAAUACAAGAGGAGGAAUAAAGCUCUACUUAUAGCAUAGAGUCUUUCAAAAGAAGAAAAGAGUAAAGGAAUUAAACUAAGUUAUACACAACGAAAGAACUGAGCUACACUACUCUGCAGCAUCAGCAGUAUCAAGAACAUCUAGAACGUCUAGAAUCUGCUCCAGAGGGGCCUCUCCUGCCUCUGCUCACAUCCAAUUUGGAUGAUCAUUGCAAGAGAAAACAAGCACAAACAAGAACAAGCAGCAAACAAAGCAAGGGUAAGCUAGAAUUCAAUGAAAGCAAGUCAAUUACAAUUAAACAUAGUAAAAGAGACAUACAAUACAACAAGCAAGAAAGAACAGUUUAUUUAGUUUAUGGUUUGUUGUUUUAUUAAGUAGUGUUAGACUUAGACUCGUCCGGACCCGGAAUGAAUAUCGAGCUAUGGCGGGUCAUGCACUUGUGGUGGCCUCUACUGCUUUGCAAAGCCAUUGCCAAUGGGUUUCACCCUACCACACACAAGGUUAUCCGUUAUCACUCACCUUGGCCCAUAUACAAUGGAGACAACCAAGACUAGGACCCCUACUGCUCUUCACCACAUGAACUACUCUUCUCUAAGUGAGAUUGAAUAGUCAUUAGAGCUUUAAGGGCAACCCCCAAGACUGAGCUACCUAUAUUCAUUCCAGAAACUCAACUCAAAUCUCACCUAGAGAUAACACUUGAAUCAUUGAAUCAACUUAUAUACAUAUACCAUCUCUUCUUUACUGAUUUUAAGUUAUUAACCAUUCACAGUUCAUCAUAUCAUACUAAUUAAAGUCAUACAAGGUAAAUCAAAAAUCAUACAUGGAUCAGCACACAAGAAAAAGAAAAGGAAGCACAAUUAUCUUUAUAAUCUUUAAUUUCCAAUACUUAAGUAAUUNAAAUGGCUUGGAGACCCUCACCAAUGGAUCCGGAAGGGUCAAAAACCCCCAGAACGACCUAAAGAACGUCCAGAAAUGAUACCCGGAACCCUUAAAACCACUCAAAACUGUCCUGGAUGCUUUCCUGACAACAAUAAUCGAUUAUCACAUAUGAUAAUCG